This 492-nucleotide ribosomal RNA is filed under the name uncultured bacterium. RNAcentral's name for it is "partial 16S ribosomal RNA". It matches the Rfam family "Bacterial small subunit ribosomal RNA", at positions 29 to 507 of the family's 1533-position model. The record is from RNAcentral.
AGUGAACGCUGGCGGUAGGCCUAACACAUGCAAGUCGAACGGCAGCACAGUAAGAGCUUGCUCUUACGGGUGGCGAGUGGCGGACGGGUGAGGAAUACAUCGGAAUCUACUUUUUCGUGGGGGAUAACGUAGGGAAACUUACGUUAAUGCCGCAUACGACCUACGGGUGAAAGCAGGGGAUCUUCGGACCUUGCGCGAUUGAAUGAGCCGAUGUCGGAUUAGCUAGUUGGCGGGGUAAAGGCCCACCAAGGCGACGAUCCGUAGCUGGUCUGAGAGGAUGAUCAGCCACACUGGAACUGAGACACGGUCCAGACUCCUACGGGAGGCAGCAGUGGGGAAUAUUGGACAAUGGGCGCAAGCCUGAUCCAGCCAUACCGCGUGGGUGAAGAAGGCCUUCGGGUUGUAAAGCCCUUUUGUUGGGAAAGAAAAGCAGCAGGUUAAUACCCCGCUGUUCUGACGGUACCCAAAGAAUAAGCACCGGCUAACUUCGUG